AAGAUGGUACCUGAAUUUUAAACCAAAUAAAGAUCUGAUUGAACAUGGAUCAGAAUGUCUCUAAUAUUAAAUCCGAAAGAAAUUUGAUUGGUAAUUAAGUGAAUAGAAUGUCUCUAAUUUUGAAUUUGUAAUAAAUUUUGAUGGUAUUUUUUAACUCGGUGUUACAUAAAUUUAGAUUCUAGUCUCACAUGAAAGUCACAGUCAUAUCAUUUAUUAAGUCAAAUGGCAUUUUGAAAAUAUAACUGCUACAUUUAUUACCCUUACUUGAUACAUGUACAACCCGAAACAACUGACAUUCUAUUUUGAGUCUGCUUUAUUUGAUACAACCUGUUCAACUAACUUUUUUUUUUUGUGUGUUUUUGCUUGAUACAACCCAUAACAUCUGACAUUUAAUUAUGGGUGUGCUUUGCUUAAUACCCCAACCCCCUUUUGCAACUGAAUUUCAUUUGUUUCAUGUAAUUUAUACACCCCUUUUUAGUCGACUUUAAAUUUUAGAGACUACCCCUUUUUAGUCCAUUUUUUACGUUUUGUGAAAUUUCAAUAAAAUAAAUUAAUUCAAUUAUAUUGUUUGUGUUUGAGUGUUUUUCAAUAAUUAUUUUAGGACACAAUUGAAAUAUUUCUAGAAAUAUUUAGAAAUUGCAGUCUGUGGACAAAAAAGGAUAACAAAAUUUAUCAAAAUGUCCCAACUGCAACAUAUUUCUGGGAAUAUUUAUGAUGUCCUUGUUAGAGGUUGCAGGAUGAAGGUUGUGAAGAUAUUUAUUGAAAUGUUGGUUUUCUUUUUAAAAUACAGAAUUAUUAUAAAUGUUAUUUAUGGUUGAUUUGGAAUGUUUAAAUAGGCAUCAGAAAAUAAAUAUUGUUUUUUUCAAAUACAUGUAUGCAAGACAGGCUAGCAUUUUUUCUUCUAAGUUAUUUGACUGGAAUUUAUUGGCUGUGUUAACCUCCCUUUAUUUCAGACAGAUAUGUCAAUUUUGCUUGAGUUUUUGUUAGACCUCAAAGCACAUUUUCUUCAAUCUUCAGUCAGAAUGUUCAUAACUUAAUCUUAGUAGUUACAGCCUUGUCUCAUGAUAUAUUAGUCAGUUAAGCAGAUUUUCUGUUUCACCUCUCCCUAUUUUCAGUAAUUAAAAAGGAGACGAAAGUAUAGUCUUUUUAAUUAACAUGAGUACUGUUGAAGUUCAGUUAAAAACUGUACGAUGGCUGUAAAGGCAGUCAAGGUUGUUAAUGCUCUCGUCAUGUAAUUAUCUCCCCUUUGUCAGUUGUAUUUUAUUUUCCAAUUGAAAUUAAAAUACAGAGCUUGCAAAUAUGUCAAUAAAAAAAAAA
RNAcentral lists this long non-coding RNA (1317 nucleotides) under Mytilus galloprovincialis (Mediterranean mussel). The record is from RNAcentral. Lineage: Eukaryota; Metazoa; Mollusca; Bivalvia; Mytilida; Mytilidae.